Molecule: ribosomal RNA, 497 nt
Filed under: uncultured bacterium
Lineage: Bacteria
Description: partial 16S ribosomal RNA
Rfam family: Bacterial small subunit ribosomal RNA
Source: RNAcentral
GAUGAACGCUGGCGGCGUGCCUAAUACAUGCAAGUCGAGCGAACAGACGAGGAGCUUGCUCCUCUGACGUUAGCGGCGGACGGGUGAGGAACACGUGGAUAACCGACCUAUAAGACUGGGAUAACUUCGGGAAACCGGAGCUAAUACCGGACAAUAUAUUGAACCGCAUGGUUCAAUAGUGAAAGACGGUUUUGCUGUCACUUAUAGAUGGAUCCGCGCCGCAUUAGCUAGUUGGUAAGGUAACGGCUUACCAAGGCAACGAUGCGUAGCCGACCUGAGAGGGUGAUCGGCCACACUGGAACUGAGACACGGUCCAGACUCCUACGGGAGGCAGCAGUAGGGAAUCUUCCGCAAUGGGCGAAAGCCUGACGGAGCAACGCCGCGUGAGUGAUGAAGGUCUUCGGAUCGUAAAACUCUGUUAUUAGGGAAGAACAAAUGUGUAAGUAACUAUGCACGUCUUGACGGUACCUAAUCAGAAAGCCCCGGCUAACUACGUG